CCUACGGGAGGCAGCAGUGGGGAAUAUUUCACAAUGGGGGAAAGCCUGAUGCAGCGACGCCGCGUGAGUGAAGAAGCGCUUCGGCGCGUAAAGUUCUGUUAUCGGGGAAGAAACACGGUUCGAGAGAGCCGUGGCCGGUACCCGACUAAGUAGCACCGGCCGAAUACGUGCCAACAGGCGCGGUAAUACGUAGGGGGCAAGCGUUAUCCGGGUUCCCUGGGUGUAAAGGGAACGUAGACGGCGAGACAAGUCAGGAGUGAAUGUCCGGGGCCCAACCCCCUGACUACUCUGGAAACUGCCUAGCUCGAGUACAGUAGAGGUAAGUUGAAUUCCUAGUGUAGCGGUGAAAUGCGUAGAUAUUAGGAGGAACACCAGUGGCGAAGGCAGGUUACUGGACUGUAACUGACGUUGAGGCACGAAAGCGUGGGGAGCAAACGGGAUUAGAUACCCUUGUAGUC
This 458-nucleotide ribosomal RNA is filed under the name uncultured bacterium. RNAcentral describes it as "partial 16S ribosomal RNA". It matches the Rfam family "Bacterial small subunit ribosomal RNA", at positions 338 to 795 of the family's 1533-position model. The record is from RNAcentral.